This 274-nucleotide ribosomal RNA is filed under the name uncultured bacterium. RNAcentral describes it as "partial 16S ribosomal RNA". It matches the Rfam family "Bacterial small subunit ribosomal RNA", at positions 523 to 796 of the family's 1533-position model. The record is from RNAcentral.
AUACGGAGGGUCCAAGCGUUAUCCGGAUUCAUUGGGUUUAAAGGGUCCGCAGGCGGGAAAAUAAGUCAGUGGUGAAAGUCUACAGCUCAACUGUAGAACUGCCAUUGAUACUGUUUUUCUUGAGUAUAAAUGAAGUGGGCGGAAUAUAUCAUGUAGCGGUGAAAUGCAUAGAUAUGAUAUAGAACACCGAUUGCGAAGGCAGCUCACUAAACUAUUACUGACGCUCAGGGACGAAAGCGUGGGGAGCGAACAGGAUUAGAAACCCUAGUAGUCC